RNAcentral lists this ribosomal RNA (1008 nucleotides) under metagenome. RNAcentral's name for it is "bacterial LSU rRNA". It matches the Rfam family "Bacterial large subunit ribosomal RNA", at positions 1923 to 2925 of the family's 2925-position model. The record is from RNAcentral.
GUAAACGGCGGCCGUAACUAUAACGGUCCUAAGGUAGCGAAAUUCCUUGUCGGGUAAGUUCCGACCUGCACGAAUGGCGUAACGAUGGCCACACUGUCUCCUCCCGAGACUCAGCGAAGUUGAAGUGUUUGUGAUGAUGCAAUCUCCCCGCGGCUAGACGGAAAGACCCCAUGAACCUUUACUGUAGCUUUGCAUUGGACUUUGAACCGAUCUGUGUAGGAUAGGUGGGAGGCUUUGAAGCGUGGACGCCAGUCUGCGUGGAGCCGACCUUGAAAUACCACCCUGGUUUGUUUGAGGUUCUAACCUUGGUCCGUUAUCCGGACUGGGGACAGUGCAUGGUAGGCAGUUUGACUGGGGCGGUCUCCUCCCAAAGUGUAACGGAGGAGUACGAAGGUACGCUAGGUACGGUCGGAAAUCGUGCUGAUAGUGCAAUGGCAUAAGCGUGCUUAACUGCGAGACCGACAAGUCGAGCAGGUGCGAAAGCAGGUCAUAGUGAUCCGGUGGUUCUGUAUGGAAGGGCCAUCGCUCAACGGAUAAAAGGUACUCUGGGGAUAACAGGCUGAUACCGCCCAAGAGUUCAUAUCGACGGCGGUGUUUGGCACCUCGAUGUCGGCUCAUCUCAUCCUGGGGCUGUAGCCGGUCCCAAGGGUAUGGCUGUUCGCCAUUUAAAGAGGUACGUGAGCUGGGUUUAAAACGUCGUGAGACAGUUUGGUCCCUAUCUGCCGUGGGCGCUGGAUAUUUGAAGGGGGCUGCUCCUAGUACGAGAGGACCGGAGUGGACGAACCUCUGGUGUACCGGUUGUCACGCCAGUGGCAUCGCCGGGUAGCUAUGUUCGGAAGAGAUAACCGCUGAAAGCAUCUAAGCGGGAAACUCGCCUUAAGAUGAGAUAUCCCCGGGGCUUCGAGCCCCUUGAAGGGUCGUUCAAGACCAGGACGUUGAUAGGUCAGGUGUGGAAGCGCAGUAAUGCGUUAAGCUAACUGAUACUAAUUGCCCGUAAGGCUUGAUCCU